UAGUCAUAUGCUUGUCUGAAAGAUUAAGCCAUGCAUGUCUAAGUAUAAACAUUUAUACUGUGAAACUGCGGACGGCUCAUUAAAUCAGUUAUAAUUUACUUGAUCAUAAUUCUUACUUGGAUAACCGUAGUAAUUCUAGAGCUAAUACAUGCAAAAAUUCCGGUCUCCUUAGAGAUAGGAAUGAAUUUAUUAGAUUAGAACCGGCGCAAGACUUCUGUCUUGAGUUAUGGUGAAUCAUAAUAACUAAUCGAAUCGCAAAGACUUUAUAGUCAGUGAU
Molecule: ribosomal RNA, 277 nt
Filed under: uncultured eukaryote
Lineage: Eukaryota
Description: partial 18S ribosomal RNA
Rfam family: Eukaryotic small subunit ribosomal RNA
Source: RNAcentral